This 72-nucleotide transfer RNA is filed under the name Ovis aries (sheep). It matches the Rfam family "tRNA". From Rfam's summary of the family: Transfer RNA (tRNA) molecules are approximately 80 nucleotides in length. Their secondary structure includes four short double-helical elements and three loops (D, anti-codon, and T loops). Further hydrogen bonds mediate the characteristic L-shaped molecular structure. tRNAs have two regions of fundamental functional importance: the anti-codon, which is responsible for specific mRNA codon recognition, and the 3' end, to which the tRNAs corresponding amino acid is attached (by aminoacyl-tRNA synthetases). tRNAs cope with the degeneracy of the genetic code in two manners: having more than one tRNA (with a specific anti-codon) for a particular amino acid; and 'wobble' base-pairing, i.e. permitting non-standard base-pairing at the 3rd anti-codon position. Lineage: Eukaryota; Metazoa; Chordata; Mammalia; Artiodactyla; Bovidae. The record is from Rfam by way of RNAcentral.
UCCCUGCUAUUUCAGUUGGUAAAGAAUCUGCCUGCAAUGCAGAAGACCUGGGUUCAAUCCCUGGGUUGGGAA